AAGACUAUAGACCUGCGGAGUACCUGCGGAAGGAUCAUUAUCGAAAAAGAAAUCGUUCUAAGGAAUGUUGCUGGCAUUAAGGUGCAUCGUGCACUUCCUGGGACAAACUUCUUUGAAAUAAACCUCUUUUUAAAUCCUUGUGCACUUGCUUGUAGGGUUUAAAGUUGGGUUUGAACAAUAGCUUUCAAUCCCAGCCCCUAUGUUAUUGUUUUCAUUCACGCCAGAAUGUUAUACGAAUGU
RNAcentral lists this unclassified non-coding RNA (240 nucleotides) under soil metagenome. Its description in RNAcentral is "partial contains 5.8S ribosomal RNA, internal transcribed spacer 2, and large subunit ribosomal RNA". The record is from RNAcentral.